UAACGUAGCGAAAGCUACGCUAAUACCGCAUACGAUCUAUGGAUGAAAGCGGGGGAUCGCAAGACCUCGCGCGAUUGGAGCGGCCGAUAUCAGAUUAGGUAGUUGGUGAGGUAAAGGCUCACCAAGCCGACGAUCUGUAGCUGGUCUGAGAGGACGACCAGCCACACUGGGACUGAGACACGGCCCAGACUCCUACGGGAGGCAGCAGUGGGGAAUUUUGGACAAUGGGCGCAAGCCUGAUCCAGCGAUGCCGCGUGCAGGAUGAAGGCCUUCGGGUUGUAAACUGCUUUUGUACGGAACGAAACGGUGAGCUCUAAUACAGUUUGCUAAUGACGGUACCGUAAGAAUAAGCACCGGCUAACUACGUG
Molecule: ribosomal RNA, 368 nt
Filed under: uncultured bacterium
Lineage: Bacteria
Description: bacterial SSU rRNA
Rfam family: Bacterial small subunit ribosomal RNA
Source: RNAcentral